This 109-nucleotide small nucleolar RNA is filed under the name Drosophila grimshawi. RNAcentral's name for it is "small nucleolar RNA Me28S-Am2589". It matches the Rfam family "Small nucleolar RNA Me28S-Am2589". Rfam says of the family: Me28S-Am2589 is a member of the C/D class of snoRNA which contain the C (UGAUGA) and D (CUGA) box motifs. This family directs 2'-O-methylation of 28S A-2589. Lineage: Eukaryota; Metazoa; Arthropoda; Insecta; Diptera; Drosophilidae. The record is from Rfam by way of RNAcentral.
UGUGAGAUGAUGAUAAACUGUCACUGAAUAUUGCGACUCAAUCUAUUUUGGAGAGAGUUGCGAUUCUUAAAGGAUGUUCGCUGUUGCGAGGCAUUUGCCUGAUCUUAUC